This 173-nucleotide unclassified non-coding RNA is filed under the name Trametes cinnabarina. Its description in RNAcentral is "partial ITS1". The record is from RNAcentral. Lineage: Eukaryota; Fungi; Basidiomycota; Agaricomycetes; Polyporales; Polyporaceae.
GCUGGCCUUCCGAGGCAUGUGCACGCCCUGCUCAUCCACUCUACACCUGUGCACUUACUGUAGGUUUGGCGUGGGCUUCGGGGGCCUCCGGGCUUUCGAGGCAUUCUGCCGGCCUAUGUAACACUACAAACACAUAAAGUAACAGAAUGUCAUCGCGUCUAACGCACAUAAAU